UUUCUGAUUUCCUAUUUUUUUUAAUAUUGUUAGAAAGAAAUAGGAAGUGAGAAAGU
RNAcentral lists this microRNA precursor (56 nucleotides) under Oreochromis niloticus (Nile tilapia). Its description in RNAcentral is "microRNA oni-mir-10881 precursor". Lineage: Eukaryota; Metazoa; Chordata; Actinopteri; Cichliformes; Cichlidae. The record is from miRBase by way of RNAcentral.